GGCUCAGAUUGAACGCUGGCGGCAUGCCUUACACAUGCAAGUCGAACGGCAGCACGGGUGCUUGCACCUGGUGGCGAGUGGCGAACGGGUGAGUAAUACAUCGGAACAUGUCCUGUAGUGGGGGAUAGCCCGGCGAAAGCCGGAUUAAUACCGCAUACGAUCCAUGGAUGAAAGCGGGGGACCUUCGGGCCUCGCGCUAUAGGGUUGGCCGAUGGCUGAUUAGCUAGUUGGUGGGGUAAAGGCCUACCAAGGCGACGAUCAGUAGCUGGUCUGAGAGGACGACCAGCCACACUGGGACUGAGACACGGCCCAGACUCCUACGGGAGGCAGCAGUGGGGAAUUUUGGACAAUGGGCGAAAGCCUGAUCCAGCAAUGCCGCGUGUGUGAAGAAGGCCUUCGGGUUGUAAAGCACUUUUGUCCGGAAAGAAAUCCUUGGCUCUAAUACAGUCGGGGGAUGACGGUAC
This 464-nucleotide ribosomal RNA is filed under the name Burkholderia cenocepacia. RNAcentral describes it as "bacterial SSU rRNA". It matches the Rfam family "Bacterial small subunit ribosomal RNA", at positions 21 to 478 of the family's 1533-position model. Lineage: Bacteria; Pseudomonadati; Pseudomonadota; Betaproteobacteria; Burkholderiales; Burkholderiaceae. The record is from RNAcentral.